RNAcentral lists this ribosomal RNA (478 nucleotides) under uncultured bacterium. RNAcentral describes it as "SSU rRNA". It matches the Rfam family "Bacterial small subunit ribosomal RNA", at positions 26 to 523 of the family's 1533-position model. The record is from RNAcentral.
AGGACGAACGCUGGCGGCGUGCUCAACACAUGCAAGUCGAGCGAGGCCCUUCCUUCGGGAAGGUGCCCUAGCGGCGAACGGGUGAGUAACACGUGGGCAACCUGCCCCUAGCACUGGGAUAAGCCCGGGAAACGGUCUAAUACCGGAUAUGACCUUCGAGGGCAUCCUUGAAGGUGUAAAGGAUUCUGGCUAGGGAUGGGCCCGCGGCCUAUCAGCUUGUUGGUGGGUAAUGGCCUACCAAGGCGACGACGGGUAGCCGGCCUGAGAGGGCGACCGGCCACACUGGGACUGAGACACGGCCCAGACUCCUACGGGAGGCAGCAGUGGGAAUCUUGCACAAUGGGCGAAAGCCUGAUGCAGCGACGCCGCGUGAGGGAUGACUGCCUUCGGGUUGUAAACCUCUUUCAGCAGGGACGAAGCGAAAGUGACGGUACCUGCAGAAGAAGCACCGGCAACUACGUGCCAGCAGCCGCGGUAA